Molecule: non-coding RNA, 224 nt
Filed under: Porphyromonas sp. COT-239 OH1446
Lineage: Bacteria; Pseudomonadati; Bacteroidota; Bacteroidia; Bacteroidales; Porphyromonadaceae
Also listed under: 1 other name
Source: RNAcentral
CUAAAGCAAGAGCUGCUCGGUUCGCUACCUCGCAACUGUGAGGUACUGCGAUGAAAAGGGAAGUCGGUGUGAGUCCGACACUAUCCCCGUAGCCGUGAGGUUGUCAUGGUACUGCCCGAAGCCACUGUCGUUGGCCGGAGAUCGGGAUGAGAUCGCCCGCUGAGGAUGGGAAGGCGCAGUACCCUAGACCAAGUCGGAAGACCUGCCGAGGUAGGCUCGCAAUA